UAAGGAGUAGUACAAAGGAAGUACAGAGAGUUUUGAUCUCUCAGAUAUAGGUUCGAUUCCUAUUUUUUUAA
Molecule: transfer RNA, 71 nt
Filed under: Rana zhenhaiensis
Lineage: Eukaryota; Metazoa; Chordata; Amphibia; Anura; Ranidae
Also listed under: 3 other names
Description: tRNA-Gln
Rfam family: tRNA
About the family: Transfer RNA (tRNA) molecules are approximately 80 nucleotides in length. Their secondary structure includes four short double-helical elements and three loops (D, anti-codon, and T loops).
Source: RNAcentral